GUAGGUGGCAAGCAUUGUCCGGAAUUAUUGGGCGUAAAGCGCGCGCAGGCGGUUCUUUAAGUCUGAUGUGAAAGCCCACGGCUCAACCGUGGAGGGUCAUUGGAAACUGGAGAACUUGAGUACAGAAGAGGAAAGCGGAAUUCCACGUGUAGCGGUGAAACGCGUAGAGAUGUGGAGGAACACCAGUGGCGAAGGCGGCUUUCUGGUCUGUAACUGACGCUGAGGCGCGAAAGCGUGGGGAGCAAACAGGGAUUAGAUACCCUGGUAGUCCACGCCGUAAACGAUGAGUGCUAAGUGUUAGGGGGUUUCCGCCCCCUUAGUGCUGCAGCUAACGCAUUAAGCACUCCGCCUGGGGAUACGGCCGCAAGGCUG
RNAcentral lists this ribosomal RNA (372 nucleotides) under uncultured organism. RNAcentral describes it as "partial 16S ribosomal RNA". It matches the Rfam family "Bacterial small subunit ribosomal RNA", at positions 527 to 896 of the family's 1533-position model. The record is from RNAcentral.